This 266-nucleotide ribosomal RNA is filed under the name uncultured Staphylococcus sp. RNAcentral's name for it is "partial 16S ribosomal RNA". It matches the Rfam family "Bacterial small subunit ribosomal RNA", at positions 96 to 354 of the family's 1533-position model. The record is from RNAcentral. Lineage: Bacteria; Bacillati; Bacillota; Bacilli; Caryophanales; Staphylococcaceae.
CGGCGGACGGGUGAGUAACACGUGGAUAACCUACCUAUAAGACUGGGAUAACUUCGGGAAACCGGAGCUAAUACCGGAUAAUAUAUUGAACCGCAUGGUUCAAUAGUGAAAGACGGUUUUGCUGUCACUUAUAGAUGGAUCCGCGCCGCAUUAGCUAGUUGGUAAGGUAACGGCUUACCAAGGCAACGAUGCGUAGCCGACCCGAGAGGGUGAUCGGCCACACUGGAACUGAGACACGGUCCAGACUCCUACGGGAGGCAGCAGGC